ACACUCAAAGAACCCGAAGCAGUUUCAGAACAGAACUCUUAUAAUCUGACACCUGUGCAGCAAUGCAUCAUGGGAGGUGGAAGAGACCAAGUGUCAAGGGUAAAGGGGGUGUGUGUUGUUUUAAACCCAAACUCCUUUACACUGGUGAAAUAAGUGUCUGUUCAAUAACAAUGUGUUAGUUGGGGCAUGAACAGAAGCUUGUAGAGUCGAGCUCCGGUUAUUUGGCGAGUUGAAUCUCUGCUUGUUCGCGUGUCACUGGUUGUGACCGUGACUAUAACUAUCACGAGCGUGCGCCGCGCGCUCCCGCCACAGCGGAUGGAGAGAAGAUGAAAGACUGAUGAUGCACUUCUUCAUUUGUUUGAUAAGUUGUGAGUUUCUGAUAUUAAAGACAUGGUGAAAAGGAAGUGUACUUUGAUUCCUGUGGACCAAAUCAUUGUUAAUAGCCACAGCGCCACUUUCAGCGAUUCUGCUGAGUUCGCGUCCUACAACUACCUGAACAUCUCGUACCCAGCAGGCCAAGGAGCAACGCUGGAGUUCUUGCAGAGGUGAACAUGAUGAUCUUCCCCCAAAAGUCAGGCGAGAGACGAGAGAAGAUUGAUAUCUCCAGCAAACUGGGUAAUAAGCAGAAUUAUAGUGAAUCCGGUGCGCAGCCCAGCAUUUUGGAUCAGGAAGAACACGACCCGACAAUUUUCACUGUUCAUCUGAGUAACUGAAAGCAGUUCUUGUAUCACACCACAGACUUUUAGACGUACAUCUUGCACAGACAUCUUGCAUUUCAGUUAUUGUUUGUAGUGAAAAUAACCUUAAAGGACAUUAGUAUUAAUAUCACUAUAGUAUGGUUGCGGUGUUUGUUUCAUUACUAGGCUGGUGCCAAAUAAUGCAAAUGGGUGCAAAUGAGUGGUGUAUAAGUUCUCAUCAGUCUGCGUAUAAAUAACAUGACUACAUUUUCCAACUGCAUGCAUUACAUACUUCAAAGUCCAAUUUUGUGUGCAUAUGAUACGCCAAUCCUUUCCAUUAACCUCGGUGGAGAGCAGAUGCGUCUAAUAACCACGCAUCAUCUUCAACGGCAAUGACGUCACAAGUGGUGCUCGGUUCGCCCAGCCUGGUUCACCUGAUGCGCGCAUCUUCAAACGGGUGCGUUUCCCAAAAGCAUUGUGAGAUUAGGCUCCUAUUCCCAGGAUAUUUGAUUUCUAGUGGCAUCAUAUAGUCCUUAGGUCCAACACAAUUUAUCCAUGGUUGAAAAUAAAGUCAAGUCCUUUUCUUUAUAGUGCCAUUGAAAAGGCUUAAGAUAUGCUCACAUCAGGUCCUCACAUGUCGAUUGAAUGUUUGGCCUUUAAAUAACAUCCUCUUACAAGGCUACACAUUUGACAUUGUCUAUUGUCUGUAAUCGACAGAUUCAUUGUUCUGUUAUAAAACAAAGUAAUACUGUUUGUAAUUUAACAUAAAAUAGUUAUGUACAGUAAAGCCACGUGAAGCACAAGACAUCAAAUAUGAUAGUUAGCACGAAAUCCUGAUUGCAUUUGAUUAUAUUAUCCCAAUAGAAACACGGAAUUGAGCUCCCAAAGAAAACCCUCAAUGAGAAACAUACUUUAGCCACAUACUUUAUCAUUAAAAGGCCAUAAUUUCAUAUUUCUGCUCAUGAAUGUCACUUAUUAAACAUAUGAGGUGAGGACAUGUAUAAAAAACAUCCUUCAAGUCUAAUGUUUAUAAUGCUGAACCUGCUCUAAGUUCAGCACACUAUCAUUCAUGAUUCAUUUAUUAAAAAUAUUUUCUCACAUUAUCGUUGAUUUGUAAAGAAAUGAGGUCUGUUCAUUGUGAAGGUCAUGGUUUUCAUGAGCCACUUCAGGAGGGAUGAAGCUUUGGAGGAUCUUUAACAAUUUAUAAUUAAACUUGUAAAUUCAAAGAUGUUUUCUGUCAUGAUUGGAGAAAUGAAAUGUGAUUAUUAUUAAGCCUAUACUGGA
This is a long non-coding RNA of Megalobrama amblycephala (Wuchang bream), 1961 nucleotides long. RefSeq lists it as uncharacterized. The record is from RefSeq and is a predicted model, not a curated record. NCBI's taxonomy places the organism in Eukaryota, Metazoa, Chordata, Actinopteri, Cypriniformes, Xenocyprididae. The transcript is spliced from 5 exons.